CAACUAAACAACUUUCACUCUCUAUUCUCCGAGGUCAUGACCAGCAAGCUUGCAGCUAAUUCACAAAAUUUACCCUAUUUCAUACAUAUUGCAAUCAAUUAACAAACCUACUUAACAUUUCUAAAGAGACCUCAAAGAGAAAAGAGACCCCUUGUUAUAUCGUGCCUCUGAUCUGUUCUCCUAAAAUAACGCUGAAGCGUUAUCCUCGGUUCUUUCCUUUUAUUUAAACACGUAAACUCUUUUUGUUCACCAAACGAUUAUAGAAAACCCUAGCCGAAUAACACUUCAAAACUCCUACAACUUACAUUCAUCUUAAUUCCUUCUAAAAAUUCCCAGGAUUCGUUCUGUUUCGUCCUAGACGGAGUAGACUCACGCCCCUACAAAUCCCAUCUUUAGUUUCGCCAAACGACUCUUCGACUACUCACGCUCCGGAGUCGAACCAGGGUUAGCUGUUUGCCGAAGUUUCACGUGGAUAAGCAAGCAGUGAGUUUGUAGUGCUAUUUAUCGCUUUAUUAAGUACCUCAAUUUAUUUUAAUAUUAGAAAUGCUUUUGAACUGUUUUAAGCGAUUAUGGAUCUGGAUUGAAACGAGCUACUCGAUAGGCUUGUAUCGAGACUGUGUGCGCCGGUGAGUACUCUGGGAAACGGCAGACUAAGUCUUGCUUACGCUGGUAUAUAUUUAUGACGAGGAUUUGUUCCCGUCCACUCUGGGUUUAUCAGUAUGCUAUGUCAUACUUACGCUGGGAUCAUUUCAAUACUGUUUUCCAUAAUCAUAUUAUAUUAGUAUAAAAUGUUUUGA
Mercurialis annua (annual mercury) is the source of this 797-nucleotide long non-coding RNA. RefSeq lists it as uncharacterized. Lineage: Eukaryota; Viridiplantae; Streptophyta; Magnoliopsida; Malpighiales; Euphorbiaceae. The transcript has 3 exons. The record is from RefSeq and is a predicted model, not a curated record.